This 180-nucleotide small RNA is filed under the name Paenibacillus macerans. Its description in RNAcentral is "c-di-AMP sequence". It matches the Rfam family "c-di-AMP riboswitch aptamer (ydaO/yuaA leader)". Rfam says of the family: This family represents a conserved RNA structure found upstream of the ydaO and yuaA genes in Bacillus subtilis and related genes in other bacteria. The ydaO/yuaA element is thought to act as a genetic "off" switch for the ydaO and yuaA genes in its native state. The record is from Rfam by way of RNAcentral. Lineage: Bacteria; Bacillati; Bacillota; Bacilli; Caryophanales; Paenibacillaceae.
AAUUCAUUAUCGCUGAAUUUCCUUAAGGAAAACGGGGGACCCGUUAAAAACUUACCUGCCUUUCAGGUGAGUUUCUCUUUUGGGGUGAAUCUUGGCAGUUGAUCCAGCGAUCCGCCAGGUAGGGCGACUCUUGCCGCCCGAAUCCGACAGCUAACCUCGUAAGCGUAGUCAGGAGUGGGU